RNAcentral lists this long non-coding RNA (2191 nucleotides) under Xyrichtys novacula (pearly razorfish). The record is from RNAcentral. Lineage: Eukaryota; Metazoa; Chordata; Actinopteri; Labriformes; Labridae.
UUUCUUCAGGAGGCACUUUUCAGAAGAAAUAUAACAAAGUUGAUGAAAAUAAGACAUCAAGUCAAAGAAGACAUGAAAAUACAAAAUAUAAUGGAUGUAAGCUCCAUAAAGACAAUCUCAGAGAAAGAGGAGCACCUUUUUCCUCUUAUCCCUAAAGUGAGCGGUACCUCUGUGAAGAUGAGAGCGACUCAGGUGAGUGUGUUUGACUUUUUACAGUGACAGAGAUAACCUGUCUCAUCCAUGACAUAGAAACAAGGAAGUUACAAAACUACCGCUCAGAUAUUAUUUGUGUUGUAAAGGUCAAAAUUAAAAACUGGGCAGACCUCCAACUCCCCUCACACUCUCUAUACUCACAGGGAGAAGGAGGAGAGGGUCAGGGUCUUUGUGUGUGUGUGUGUGUGUGGGGGGGGGUGUUAGGUGGUUUCCAUGGCAGCAUGUUUUCUCACACAUGCUGCCCACAUGUCAUAAAGCGCUCUGUGCAGGAAUAUGAAAUGAAAGGCGUGUUUUACGCCCACGAAGUUCAAGCGUCUGUGCGUGUUUGUGGGCAGCGCUCCAGGAUGUCAAAGUUUACUUAGAUUAACAUCAGUGUGUGUUUGAAAGAAUCACUGCAGCAACACACCUUCACUGAGCACACCUGACAGGGCUACAGGUCACUACAGAGGUAAAAAAAAAAAAGACAAUAACUUACAGGAAAUAAACAAGACAAGAUGAAAAUCAUACUCAGAUAAAAGUAAAUAAAGAAGUGUGUUCUUUCUUCACACAGCGGCCGUCCUUCUCUGAUAUCAUGCUCCAGGUGAGAGUCAAAGAAUGAGUGGAUUUCAUCAUCUACAGUACAUCAUAUCAUUUAAAGAGAAUCUGGAGAAAUCUCUGUACUGAAGGGUCCAAAGCCAAGACUGGAUGGUCCUGAUCCUCAGGCCCUCAGGCAGCACUACACUAAAAAACAAUCAAGACUCUGGAGUGGAAAUCACUGCAUGGGCUCAGAAUCACUUUAAAAACCAUCGACUGUGCAGAAGCUGAAUUCUUUUAGUGUCUCUAAGAACAUUUUAUGUAGAUUUUUAUUAUUUUUCUAUUGACAGUUUCUUUAUCUGUUGGUUUAAUGGGUUUUCUCUGAAAGACACGAACAGUCUGAAUCACAUUGUCAUCGUCUGCUUAAAGUUCAUCCCUAAAAAUAUUAUGGUAUGGGGAUCAUCAAGGUCCAAGUCAUCUGUGAAGGCUCCAUUAAUGCUGAACUAUAUCUCCAAGUUUAGGAGCAACAGGACUCUGCAGUCGGAGUCACCGCAUGCACUUAAUAUCACUCGUCCGUGAACUGUCCUGAGGUCUGAUGAAUCAAAAUCUAAAACUCUUUUAGAAAGGACAACUGGAGUUUCUAAAGAACCAGAAAUCAUAGACGCCGUAUCCGCAGUUUUAAACAAUAUCUCCAGGUUAAGGGGCAACAUCUGCGUCCAUCUAGACCAGGACUUUUUCAGGGAAGACCUUCAGAUGAUCCCAAACCACAAUCUGACAACAGCAUGGCUCUGUAGGAGAAGAGUCCUGGACUGAUGGGGUCCUGACUUGGAAACAUUUGGAGCAUCAUGACCUCCAAAACAGGACCAAGAGCAGCUGAGAUCCUCUAUCAGGACAGACUGGGACAACAUUUGACUGUCAGACUCCAGAACUCAGUCUGCUGGGUUCAAUAAUAAACUAACAAAUCUUAUCCAAAAGAAGAAGCCAAAAUAUCAAUUAAUGGUACUGAAAUCUCUCAAGUACCCCACACCACUUUUUUGGGUGUUGUCCUUGAUGAGGGUGUGAAGUGGAACAUUCAUAUCGGUCGAGUUUGCAAAAGGUCAAUGAAGAGCCUCUGUAUAAUCGAUAAGGUCUGUCCUCUGAUCAAUCCCUCUGCUCAUUUGUCUUUGUAUUAUAGCUUUCUAUUUCCGUACAUGAACUAUUGUAAUAUUGUAUGGUGUGCAACGUAUCCAACAUACCUCAAGAAAAUAUGAAUAAUCCAGAAAAGAUUCUUCAGAAUAAUAUCUCGAUCCAGCAGACAUGAACCUUCUGCUCCUCUCUUCUAAAUACUCCUUCUUACCGAUUGACAAACUCAGUGUCUUUCACUCUCGUUUGUUUGUCUACAAGUUCAUCAAUAACAAACCAAACCUUCCUGAAACUUUCCGAAACUUUUUUACCUUUUCUUCCGACCUUCACCCGUACUCAACAC